AGGACAGAUGAUUUUUACUCUCUACGCACUUCAGCACUCGGUGGUCCCAUUCUGUGAGCUUGUGUAGCCUACCACUUCGCGGCUGAGCCGUUGUUGCUUCUAGAUGUUUCCACUUCACAAUAACAGCACUUACAGUUGACCAGGGCAACUCUAGCAGGGCAGACAUUUUGACAAACUGACUUGUUGGAAAGGUGGCAUCCUAUGACGGUAUAACGGUGAAAGUCACUGAGCUCUUCAGUGAGGGCAUUCUCCUGCCAAUGUUUGUCUAUGGAGAUUGCAUGGCUGUGUGCUUGAUUUUAUACACGUUAGCAACUGGUGUGGCUGAAAUAGCCGAAUCCACAAAUUUGAAGGGGUGGCCAUAUACUUUUGUAUAUAUAGUAAUUUUUACCGAAUAGAAACGUUGAGCUGUUGUUUCUCCAUUCGGCUGCUAGAGGGCACCAAACCCCUUUGCAUCAGGCCCACGCCACGAACCCUGCUGCAGGAACUCACUCACUGCCUGUAUAACGCCUGGGUUGCCAAUUCUGCCCACUCUGACUCUGGACCCUGUCUCCAGUCCAACUUCUCGUCAGUCCUGCUACUCUGUCCUGGUUUCCCCACUCUACGGCUCCCUUGGAUUCCCCUCCGGAGCUGCUUACCCUGUCCCAACACCUCUCGCUCUCGCACCUGGUUUCCGGCAACCCGCCCGAGCUUCCCCUGACCUACACUCCAUCUUCCCCCUGUGUUCCAAUAAAUACCUUGCUUAUUUCAUC
Molecule: long non-coding RNA, 749 nt
Filed under: Salmo salar (Atlantic salmon)
Lineage: Eukaryota; Metazoa; Chordata; Actinopteri; Salmoniformes; Salmonidae
Description: lncRNA (ENSSSAG00000107537.1)
Source: RNAcentral